Molecule: long non-coding RNA, 2046 nt
Filed under: Trifolium pratense (red clover)
Lineage: Eukaryota; Viridiplantae; Streptophyta; Magnoliopsida; Fabales; Fabaceae
Description: long non-coding RNA (TPRA_LNC006213)
Source: RNAcentral
UGAAAGAAAUCAUCAUUACAAGAAGGGAUUAGAUGUGUUUCCACCCUUGAAUCCUUGCUUGAAUGCCUCUUUGAUCCUCUGAAAUAGCCGUCAAAAAUCAGUUCUUGAUCCAAUAUUUCGUAGCCCUAAAAUGAGAAACUGUUUUCAAUUUAUAGUGCAGAAUUCAUGUCAAGCCAGGCUUGGCUCUGCCCAAGCUGGGCGCAGAAGGCAGAGAGCAAUUCUUCAAUUUUCAAGCUGGGCUCAGCUGCCCCUAAGCUAGGCGCAGAAGGCAGAAGCUAGGCAAUUUUUUUAUUUUUUCUUGUUAUCAUGCUAUCUCAUAUUUCAUGCAAUUUCUUCUUAUUUAAUUGCUAAAAACAUGGUAAAAACCUACUUGUUUGCUUGCAUUUGCUAAAAAAAAACAUAGUAAUGACAUGAAGUCAUCACAACCCCAAACUUGAAUUUUUCCUUGUCCUCAAGGAAUAUCUUCAUCCAUCGGAAAACCUGACACUAUCAAACAGUCUAAUUCAAAGCCAUCAAAGUCAGUCAAGUUAGAACAUCACAAUUAACAUUUCAAUGAUCAUCCCUAUCAUGAAUUUACUUGCACACAGAUUAAUACCGAAAAAUCAAGAACUUUUCACAAAUAUUGACCAAACCAUAAUUACUUCACUCCCUCACAUUCUCUCCUGUUUAAAUUGGUGUAUUCACUCAAUCAACACAAACAUAGUCAUUCUACCAUAAGCUUGCAAACAUUCUAACAAUCGAUCAACAUGCAUAAGAAUUCACACCUUUUGAGGACUUGAAGGUUAUAACGGGGAUAAGGUUUUAGGGUGGAUAUUUUGGAUGGUAAGCAGAAAAACUUGGAGUUUUAAAGAUCACUCAUUUAACAAAGAAUUAGAUUAUUCAAACAUCCCCAAAAUUCAAACAUCAUCAUACUAGAGAAUUUAUUUGUCAAACUUUUCUUUCUUUUUCAUUUUUUUUUUUUGCGGAGAGAUUCAUUAGCAUUUCUUUAUUUGGUGUUUUGUUUUUGUUAUUUUUUUUUAUAAACACCAUUUUUUUUCACAAGGUAAUGCCUCUCCCUACUGUCUUAUAUUUCUCUUUUUUUUUUAUUAUUUUUUUAUUUUUAUUUUUUUGAUAAAUUCUCUAGUACCCCACCCCAAACUUAAUCAGUUGCAAAUACCAAAAGCAACCCCAAACUUAAUGAUGAGCAAUAUGCUCUAAUCAUAAGUUAAGUGAUCUAACUCCAAGAAAAUCAUCUUUUUUUUUUAAUAUGUUUUCAAACUUGGGUUAUCAAACAAAGAAUAUUUUUCUUUCGGCUCAACGGGGUUAACAAAGGAUAUAAGAUAAGGAAUGGUGGCUUCAAAAAGGCUCAAGGUACAAACAACAUGCCUCAAUGUGUAAUUCAAAGCAAUCAAUCAAUUAAAAGAACAUAAGCAAGUUCUAGAGAAUUAGCUAAGUUGUGGAAUCUCUCAUGACAAGAAAAUUUAUGUGUUUGGGCUCGAANNNNNNNNNNNNNNNNNNNNNNNNNNNNNNNNNNNNNNNNNNNAAAUCUCACGGCUUGGCCGGAUUAUCGAGUGGUCAAUGUUUGAGAAAUUUCCUCAACUUUUCUAAUUAUCAUCAAAUAUGACAAGCAAUCAAACAAGUGAAUCACAAAUUCAUGUAUCAUAGAUGCUAACGUAGAUGACUUUUAAUGGCAUUUAAACAAAACUAUUCGAACAAUGCACAAGUUUUCAAAUAGACAAAAACAUUCAUAAAAGACAAAAUUAAAUUCAAGUUCAAGGGAAGUGAUACUAACCAACAGUAGAGCAGUCAAAAGUGGGAAGAACCACCCCUUUUUUUUUAACAUUGACGCGGGGAUCCGUAAGGCUUGAGUUGGGCGCAACACCUAAUUUUUUUUUCUCAUUUUUUUUUGAAACUCCACUCUACUCCUUUGCUUAACCUGCAAGCACAAACAAAUUUAGCAAAAACCAGAUGUUAAUAAACAAAAUCUUAGGUUGCCUCCCAAGCAGCGCUCGUUUAACGUCUUGAGCUUGACGCACCAUCAUCCAAGUUAGGGAGGAUACUUCAAAU